GAUGAACGCUGGCGGCGUGCCUAAUACAUGCAAGUCGAGCGAACGGACGAGAAGCUUGCUUCUCUGAUGUUAGCGGCGGACGGGUGAGUAACACGUGGAUAACCUCCCUAUAAGACUGGGAUAACUUCGGGAAACCGGAGCUAAUACCGGAUAAUAUUUUGAACCGCAUGGUUCAAAAGUGAAAGACGGUCUUGCUGUCACUUAUAGAGGGAUCCGCGCUGCAUUAGCUAGUUGGUAAGCUAACGGCUUACCAAGGCAACGAUGCAUAGACGACCUGAGAGGGUGAUAGGCCACACUAGAACUGAGACACGGUCCAGACUCCUACGGGAGGCAGCAGUAGGGAAUCUGACGCAAUGGGCGAAAGCCUGACGGAGCAACGCCGCGUGAGUGAUGAAGGUCUUCGGAUCGUAAAACUCUGUUAUUAGGGAAGAACAUAUGUGUAAGUAACUGUGCACAUCUUGACGGUACCUAAUCAGAAAGCCACGGCUAACUACGUG
This 497-nucleotide ribosomal RNA is filed under the name uncultured bacterium. RNAcentral's name for it is "partial 16S ribosomal RNA". It matches the Rfam family "Bacterial small subunit ribosomal RNA", at positions 28 to 507 of the family's 1533-position model. The record is from RNAcentral.